This 713-nucleotide ribosomal RNA is filed under the name uncultured bacterium. RNAcentral's name for it is "bacterial SSU rRNA". It matches the Rfam family "Bacterial small subunit ribosomal RNA", at positions 780 to 1494 of the family's 1533-position model. The record is from RNAcentral.
AGAUACCCUGGUAGUCCACGCCGUAAACGAUGUCGACUAGCCGUUGGGCUCCUUGAGAGCUUUGUGGCGCAGUUAACGCGAUAAGUCGACCGCCUGGGGAGUACGGCCGCAAGGUUAAAACUCAAAUGAAUUGACGGGGGCCCGCACAAGCGGUGGAGCAUGUGGUUUAAUUCGAUGCAACGCGAAGAACCUUACCUACCCUUGACAUCGUGCGAACUUUCCAGAGAUGGAUUGGUGCCUUCGGGAGCGCACAGACAGGUGCUGCAUGGCUGUCGUCAGCUCGUGUUGUGAAAUGUUGGGUUAAGUCCCGUAACGAGCGCAACCCUUGUCCUUAUUUGCCAGCGAGUCAUGUCGGGAACUCUAAGGAGACUGCCGGUGACAAACCGGAGGAAGGUGGGGACGACGUCAAGUCAUCAUGGCCCUUACGGGUAGGGCUACACACGUGCUACAAUGGCCGGUACAAAGGGUUGCGAAGCCGCGAGGUGGAGCUAAUCCCGAAAAGCUGGUCUCAGUCCGGAUCGGAGUCUGCAACUCGACUCCGUGAAGUCGGAAUCGCUAGUAAUCGUGAAUCAGAAUGUCACGGUGAAUACGUUCCCGGGCCUUGUACACACCGCCCGUCACACCAUGGGAGUGGACUGCACCAGAAGUGGUUAGCCUAACUUCGGAGGGCGAUCACCACGGUGUGGUUCAUGACUGGGGUGAAGUCGUAACAA